UAAGGAAUAUUGCGCAAUGGGCGAAAGCCAGACGCAGCAACGCCGCGUGGACGAUGAAGGCCUUCGGGUCGUAAAGUCCUUUUCAGAGGGACGAGUGAGGACGGUACCUCUGGAAUAAGUCACGGCUAACUACGUGCCAGCAGCCGCGGUAAAACGUAGGUGGCGAGCGUUAUCCGGAUUCACUGGGCGUAAAGCGCCUGCAGGCGGUCUCGUAAGUGGGAUGUGAAAUCUCCCGGCUUAACUGGGAGGGGCCAUUCCAUACUGCGAGGCUUGAGGGCAGAAGAGGGAAGCGGAAUUCCCGGUGUAGUGGUGAAAUGCGUAGAUAUCGGGAGGAACACCAGUGGCGAAGGCGGCUUCCUGGCCUGCUCCUGACGCUAAGAGGCGAAAGCUAGGGGAGCGAACGGGAUUAGAAACCCCGGUAGUCCUAGCUAUAAACGAUGGAUACUGGGUGUCGGUGGUCCUAACCCCAUCGGUGCCGAAGCUAACGCGUUAAGUAUCCCGCCUGGGGACUACGGCCGCAAGGUUA
RNAcentral lists this ribosomal RNA (526 nucleotides) under uncultured bacterium. RNAcentral's name for it is "bacterial SSU rRNA". It matches the Rfam family "Bacterial small subunit ribosomal RNA", at positions 355 to 896 of the family's 1533-position model. The record is from RNAcentral.